This 406-nucleotide long non-coding RNA is filed under the name Mytilus galloprovincialis (Mediterranean mussel). Lineage: Eukaryota; Metazoa; Mollusca; Bivalvia; Mytilida; Mytilidae. The record is from RNAcentral.
AAAAUACAAUUCUAUUCAAAUUUAACCAAGGGUAAAAAUGUUCGAUUUAUUUGCAGUGUCAGAUAUAUUUGUAUUGGUUGAAUUAAGAUAUAGAAAUUUUACAAUGACAGAUGAUAUGCACCUUGAAAGUUAAACAUCCUAUGAUAAAACAAAAAUAUGGAAAACCGUAUACAUGUACUUCCGUCCCAUCUUUCCUUCCUACAUUACUUGCGACAGUACUGCAUUUUUAGUUGAAAUAACUUAAAGGGUAAACAUUAUUAAAUCGAUUUCCACAACUCGAGGUAAUUUUUGAUAAAAUGACAUCACAAAACGAACAGAACCAGAAUCAACCAACAAUAUAAAAAAACGAAUAAAACUUGCAAAAAUUAAACGAAGUCAAAAACCCUCUUCGACGCCGCAUGUUAAA